GCUAUCUCGGCUUCAAUCUAU
Caenorhabditis elegans is the source of this 21-nucleotide non-coding RNA. The record is from Ensembl. Lineage: Eukaryota; Metazoa; Nematoda; Chromadorea; Rhabditida; Rhabditidae.